AUUCCAUGAUGUAGGCAUCUUCGUAAUAGUUCUUUAAAUCUAUCUCAAGCCUCAUAAAAGGACUCAUCAUCCAUCUGUUGAAAGGUAGUGCUUAUAUUCCAUAACUUAGCAU
Molecule: non-coding RNA, 112 nt
Organism: Gossypium raimondii (Peruvian cotton)
Lineage: Eukaryota; Viridiplantae; Streptophyta; Magnoliopsida; Malvales; Malvaceae
Source: Rfam